GGACACGAGGAACCCUGUCGGAAUCCGGGAGGACCAUCUCCCAAGGCUAAAUACUACUUGGUGACCGAUAGUGAACCAGUACCGUGAGGGAAAGGUGAAAAGAACCCCCGCGAGGGGAGUGAAAAGACUCUGAAACCGAAUGUCUACAAGCCGUUGGAGCACUAUGGCGCAAGCAACGUGCGACAGCGUGCCUUUUGCAUAAUGAGCCUGCGAGUUACAGUGUCCGGCAAGGUUAAGCCGUGAGGCGAAGCCGAAGCGAAAGCGAGUCUGAAUAGGGCGCUAAGUCGGAUGCCGUAGACCCGAAACCGGGUGAUCUAUCCUUGGCCAGGCUGAAGAGCGGGUAACACCGCUUGGAGGGCCGAACUCACCAUAGUUGAAAAUAUGGGGGAUGAGCUGAGGAUCGGAGUGAAAGGCUAAUCAAACUCGGUUAUAGCUGGUCUCGCCGAACAUAUUAGGUAUGGGGUCAGAGGAUUUUGCUACUGCAGGUAAAGCACUGAA
RNAcentral lists this ribosomal RNA (498 nucleotides) under uncultured bacterium. RNAcentral's name for it is "bacterial LSU rRNA". It matches the Rfam family "Bacterial large subunit ribosomal RNA", at positions 420 to 914 of the family's 2925-position model. The record is from RNAcentral.